GUAAGUAUUUAAAAGGUCACAAGAAGUCAUAAUUCUUACUGUAACAAUUUUAAUGGAUAAUUUUAAAUGUCAGUUUAAAAAAAAUUAUUAGAAGUCUAAAGAUGCAAAUAAUUUUAAAUGAACCAAACUCCAGAGAGAAAUCAGCACUACCUAGAAGAGAAGAAACUGCUAGUUAAUUUUAUGCCUGCAGUUAUAUCCUCUGUGGACAAAGGAUAUAAUUUUCCAUAGACAAGGAAUGUUUAUAAUUUAAGGAGAAACUUUUAAUGGACACAUAUUGGGGGGCAAGAUAGAUUCGAUUCCAAAAAGUCCCAGAAAAAAAGUACAUCAUCAUCUGUUCGCCAAGUCUUUCACAGACAGACUUUAAAUACAUGGAAGCAUACUAAAUAUUGGAGCCAAACCAGAAGGCAAGGUAAGAACUCCUGAGUUGCAUAAUGCUGGACAGAUGGUGGCUGGAGAAUUCACCAGUAACCUCAAAAUCUGCCUGUAAAGCAUAAAAAGUUCUAGAGAUUCUCAUAAUUCUUAAAUACUAAGUCCUUCUGAAAUUAGGAGUCCAGAUCUCACCCCCAAAGGAUUUGAAGCCAGGGGUAAACUCAAACACAAGCUGCAACCCAUACCAGAUCUAGUUCAAUAAGAACUUAGAUCAGGUCUGGCAGAAGAAGGGGCUUUCUCUGUUCCAAAAUUAUUUUAUAUAUAAGAUUCAACAUACAAUAAAACAUAACAUUAUAUGAGAAACAAAACAAAAUGUAAAUAUCAGAAAACUAUGACCAAAAAAGGUUAUAUAGCAUAGAAUCAAAACUGAACCAAGCAUGAAUUUUAACAGGCAAACACAUUAAUAUAACUACUUUAAAGACACCUCAGAGAUGUUGCCUGCAUGACCUCCAAUGCACUCACAGAACAAGAGGCAAAGGGUUCGAUUCUCACUGGUUCAAAGUGCUUAAGCGCAAACUCUAAUCAAUUAUUAACUAAUUCCUCAGCUAUACUAACCAAGAGUAAUAUCUAAGCUUCUAGGUUUACAAAAAAAACAAAAAACAAACAAAAAAAAACAAGAAAAGAAAUAACUUAGCAGAGACAUGAGUGGCUGCAUAUUAAAUAGGAGACAGAAUUAGUCCAGGCAAGGGUAAAAAUAAAGAAAAAAAUUAAGUAACAACAAAAUAAUCUCAUUUGGGGAAUCAGAAUCUGUUAUCCAAAAUGUCAUGUCUUAUUUUCAACAGAAGAGAAGAAACAGGAAAGCACGCCUCAUUGACAUGGGGAAAAAAGCAGCAAGCAGAAACUAUCUGUGAGGGAUCUCAGAUGUUGGACUUAGUACACAAAGAGUUCAAAGCAUCCAUUAUAAAUAUAUAGAACUAAAGCAAAGUGUAUUUUUAACAAUUAAAAAUGAGAGAACAGAGAAGUCUCUGCAUUUAAAAAGGAAAGGAAUGACAUCUGUAUUUGUACUGUGUGUGCAUUGCUGUUUAAGUGUGCAGAUUUGUGUAGAGGUGUAUGUUUCCCUAGUAGCUCUAAAAAUACAUGAAAUGCUUCCCUCACUGCUCCCAUUUGUUUCUUUUUGGCAAUUUAUAUUUAACUUUUCUCUCUUUGUCCCUGUCUCCUUUCUCCUCUUUCAUAAAUAAUAUACUGCUUUUCUCUGUCAUUCUAAAGGAGUCACGGGGACUUUAAAUUGAUACAGCUGUAAAGGAGGAAAUGAGAGGCAAGGGAAUACACUGUGACUUUAGGAUGGAAAGAUAUGCAGUUUGACUGCAAAACGCAGAGACAGCUUUGAUUGAGGUGAAACAUAGGAAAAGUCCAAGAAGAAUCAGAGGAAACCAUUACAGAUCUCCUGGGCAAAGGGAAAACUUAGAGGGGAAAAUGUUUUUGCAGAGGGAUGAUGAGGAAACAGCUGAUUAAGACAGAGAGUGUCAAUCAUGUGGGGAAAUAGACACGGAACUGAGCCAGGUGGGAGUGCGGGCUCCUUGCAGGGCUGGAAUGAGGGCAAGGUUGGGCUCAGAUUUACAUACUGAUUCAUACCCACGCACUCAUGCACGCACAUGCACAUGAACACACACACAUUUUAAGGGUCCUCUGAAAGUGGCAACCGCACAUCCAUGUUCCCCUGGCAGUGGGCAAUGUGAACGGCAUAGGCUAUUCCCCAGUACCCAUACAUUAGACCUGAUGGACUUUCCCUGAGCACCUCCACCUUGCCUUGUCCCUUCAUGUUCUGUGGCUUUCCUGUUCAUAGCCUCUGAAGGUGAGGAGCCUCAGCCUGGGUUCUGCCAUCAGCAAGGACUCAUUUCUUUGCUCUCUAAGGCUAACUGUUGCUCACAUACUGGCCAGAAGCCAAAGAAACAAUUUCCAUGUGAAUGGUAUUUUAAGGCUAUCACUUUCACACUCCUCAAACUCUAGUAUUUUGGGUUUUGGAAGCAGCGCUGCAUACAGACAAGGGUUCUGGCUUCAUUUGCAACAGUGAGAGCUGCAGAAGGGCAUCUUGGGGGCGGAGGGCAUUUUUUUUUGAGGUUUCAGGAAGCACCACAGAGAAACGGAAGGUGAAUUAAUGGAAUGCCGGAAUUCUGUGGAGAAGCAUGGAGCAGACCUGCGACAUCCGAUGAAAUGUAUACAAAGGAGAAGAUUAUGAAACUGACUGAAAAUCGUCUAUAAAGUCGGGAGUAAAAGGAAUGACGUAUGGGAACUGGGGGAGGAGAAUGUCUCUUUAGUAAAUCAGAGACUGAGAAACUACCAAAGAAAAGCUGUUAGUUUUGUUUGUAUAACAUGAAUCUAGUCUAAGGGAAUUAAACCAAAAAGAAAUACAUGAUUCCUUUAUAUUUUAGUAGAAAAUUCUAAAGAGAAAAAACUAUGAAAUACAAGCAUUGUGCAUUUCAAUGUGCAAGCUCUAAAGAGAAAACUCUAAAAUACAAGCAUUGUGUAGGAAGGAAUAUGAACACUGACAAGAGGAAAUGAUAAAAGGAGAAAGAGUCUAUGUUUCAUUGCAGUCUGUGUGUAAUACAAUAUGACAAAAGACAGGGAAUAGGCUGGCUUUUGUGAACAUAAGAUCUCACUAUAUCUGAGACUUCUCACUAUAUCUGUAUUCUGUAAGUGACAUCGCUGCACAAGAGAGGAGAUUGGGUAAGAAAUAGGUCACAAAAUAUGUCUGCAUGCUGUAAGUUUUUUGGGGAAAAUACUAGGAAAAAAUUAAAUCUCACUAGAGGCAGUAAGUGAGAGUAAGUCCAAGACUAAGGUAAUACAUGAUACUACAAAAGAAAAAGUCAUACAAUAGCCAUUUUUCCAAGGAAGAUAUGAAAUGGUCAAUUAGCAUAUGAAAAGAUUCUCAACAUCAUCAGUUGUCAGGGCAAACCACAAUGAGAUACCACUUCACACCUUCUAAGUAGGCUGGAAUCCAAUAGUCAAAUAACAACAUAUUUUGAUGAGAAUGCAGAAAAAAUGGAGCACUCAUAUAUUGCUAGUGGAAAUAUAAAAUGGCAAAACCAUUUUGAAAAACUCUCUGGCCAUUCCUCAAAUAAUUAAAUAUUGAAUUAUUGUCUGACCCAGCAAUUCUACUCCUAGGUAUAUACCCAAGAGUAAUGAAAACACAUGUUCACAUAAAGCCUUGUACAUAAAUGUUAAGCAGCCUUGUUCAUCAUGAUAGUCAAAAGGUGGAAACAACCCAAAUGUCCAUCAAUACACAACAAUAAUAAGCAAAAUGUGGUAUAUCCAUAAAAUAGAAUAUUAUUGACCAUAAAAAGAAUGAAGUAUUAAUGUAUUCUAUCACAUGGAUAAAACUUCAAAACACUAUGCUGAGUUUUAAAAGUCAGCCACAAAAGAUUAGAUACUAUAUAACUCCAUUAAUAUAAAAAUGCAGAAUGAGGAAAUAUACAGAAACAAAGUAAAUUAGUGGUUGCUUAUGGCUGAUGGAAAAAAUGAGGGCUUGUAGGGUAAUAGCUAAAGGGUUGGGGUUUUCUUUUUCAGGUUGUGAAAAUGUACUAAAAUUGACUGGUGAUGUUUGCACAUAUUUGUGAAUAUAGUAAAAUCUGCUGAAUUGUACACUUUAAAUUAGGUGAAUUGCGUGGUAUGUAAAUAAUAUCUCAAUAAAACUCUGG
This 4064-nucleotide long non-coding RNA is filed under the name Homo sapiens (human). RNAcentral's name for it is "HSALNT0137736". Lineage: Eukaryota; Metazoa; Chordata; Mammalia; Primates; Hominidae. The record is from RNAcentral.